CUGGGAACUGGCAGAGCAGGGAGAGCUCAGGGCGUGCAGAGCUCGGGGCAGGAGCAGUGGUGCCUUGGCAGGGCUGAGGCAGCCCCUGCUGCCACCAGAGCUGUGUUUCACUGCCCAAAGCUUCCUCUGCAACCCCCUGUCCUCACCCUGCAUCUUCCACCUGCUUUUCCAUCAGCACUGCCUGCAGAAUGCCUGGAUGGGAGGGCGUCAGCAGUGGAAGGAUGUGGAGCAACAGGAGGAACGGUCGGGUGGCUUUGAACAGGGCUACGUGGCCAGAAAGGCUGAAUCAAAGAACAUUUAUAGGCUUCAUUCUUAUCUGGUGCUCUGCCACCUCCAUCAAAUAAUGCCAGAGCAGCACUGCAGCAGUUGCUGUUGAGAUCAGAAUCUGCAUAUAGAUAUUGAGUCUCCCAAGUUCUAAAAGUACUGUUACAUUUGAAGUCAAAGAGAAAAGAGAGAACAAAUAACAUAAUUUACUGCUGCAGAUUAUUUUUAUGCCUGUGUGCUCCACUUAAGAGAAUACUCUGUAAAUGACUUAUUAUCAAGAAAAGUUAUUUGUUUGCACUAAUCAAGCCUUAAACUUGGAGGCAUAAUACGGAACUAAUUAUUUUUAACUAACUAAUCAACAUGUUUCAUUCAUAAGUUGGGAUUUAUCAAUAUAGCACAUGAAAGGAGAGAACAUAUUAUUAUUUCAAUUUAGAUAAUAUGCAAAAAGCAGUGUGUUUGUAAUGACCUGCUUUCACUGAAUAUAAUCAAGCUCCAAAGCUCUAUUACAGGCUGGAAAUAGCAGCAGCUUACUUUAAUGAGAUUUCUGGCUCUGGGCCCCAGCUGUUCUACGCAAGGCUCUCCCUUUGCUCUAUGACCUACCAAUAUGUGCUGUCACCAGUAAUGAGACAGGACCUAUUUCCUAACAUGGGGAAAAACUGGAAAGCACGAGUUCAUUCUGUUCUGAGGAAACACACCCUGUUCCCCCUGCAAGGCACGAGGAGAGGAACACUGGAUAUGCAACAUGCCCCCCUUGCCUCGCCAGCAGAAAUGUGCCAUGAAACCCAUCAGCUCAAGGAAGAAUUCUUAAAUGAAAGAAGAAAAGCACAUUUGCAAAGGUCACAUCGACGGAUUUUGAAGUGCAGUGUGUGAAAUAGAUGCAGCAAUCUGAUGUUUCUGCAGCGUGAGCAGCGUCAGCGUUUGAUGUUCGGGUGUUGAGUCACCGAGGGCUCACCUUUCCCUCCGGAUGACACCGUGACAGCUGCAACCAGCAGGUGCCUGAGAGCUGGCAGUGCUUUGAUUUUAAAAAGAGAGGGUUGCUGGCAAGGCAUUUUCACAAGGAGUUCCUUCUCAGCUCUGCAAGUCCUUUCACUUCUUCGCUCAAUGGGACCUUGAUUUGAUAACACUGGGAGUGUAUCACAAACGGCACAUCUGCUCUGCCAGGAUGAGCCGUGUGCCUGAGCUGCAGAGCUGCUUCCUGGGGAUCCCACUUGCUUUCAGAUUCAGUUUAUCUGUGAGCUUAUCCUACUAAAUUAUCAUUAGAAAUUCCACCUCUUGUGAGGCACAUGGCCUUUUGAGCACACCUGACAAAACAGAAGAUGUUCCCCUGUGCUGUGUUUCACUGAAAGGCUGAGCAAACCACAGACCUCAGGGUGACCUUAUCAAUCUCUACAGCUCCUGAAAGGUGGCUGUGGCCAGGUGGGGUUGGGCUCUUUCUCAGGCAGCACUGACAGAACCAGAGGACAAAGUCUCAAGCUGCACCAAGGGAAAUACAGGGUGGAUAUUAGGAAAAAGUUUUUUAUAGAAAGAGUGAUAAAUAUCUGGAAUGGCUGCCCGGGGAGAUGGUGGAGUCACCAUCCCUGGAUGUGUUUAAAAACAGACUGGAUGUGAUGCCAGGGUUUAGUUGAGAUGUUGGGGCUGGGUUGAACACCUCAACUUGAUGCUCUUGAAAGUCUCUUCCAACCUGGGUAUUCUGUGAAUUCUGUGGUUGUUCCUGACUAAGCAAAAGCAAGCACAUGGAUUUCUCUACACCAGUCCAGCCACACUCGGUUUUUCCCGUGACCUGAGUCACAGUCAAGCAUUUUAUUAUGUGACAUUCACAGCGAGAGUGGCAGAAUAAAAACAGGCUAAGAAACCUAAUCCUCA
Long non-coding RNA from Chloebia gouldiae (Gouldian finch), 2127 nucleotides. NCBI's taxonomy places the organism in Eukaryota, Metazoa, Chordata, Aves, Passeriformes, Passeridae. The record is from Ensembl.